GACGAACGCUGGCGGCGUGCUUAACACAUGCAAGUCGAACGGUGAAGGGACCGGUUUUUGCUGGUUCUGGAUGAGUGGCGAACGGGUGAGUAACACGUGAGUAACCUGCCCCCUUCUUCUGGAUAACCGCAUGAAAGUGUGGCUAAUACGGGAUAUUCUGCGCCUGCUGCAUGGUGGGUGUGGGAAAGAUAUUGUUUCGGUGGGGGAUGGGCUCGCGGCCUAUCAGCUUGUUGGUGGGGUGAUGGCCUACCAAGGCGGUGACGGGUAGCCGGCCUGGGAGGGUGGACGGUCACACUGGGACGGAGACACGGCCCAGACUCCUACGGGAGGCAGCAGUGGGGAAUAUUGCACAAUGGGCGCAAGCCUGAUGCAGCGACGCCGCGUGAGGGAUGGAGGCCUUCGGGUUGUAAACCUCUUUCGCCAGUGAAGCAGGCCUGUCCCUUUUGUGGGUGGGUUGACGGUAGCUGGAUAAGAAGCGCCGGCUAACUACGUG
This 493-nucleotide ribosomal RNA is filed under the name uncultured bacterium. Its description in RNAcentral is "partial 16S ribosomal RNA". It matches the Rfam family "Bacterial small subunit ribosomal RNA", at positions 28 to 507 of the family's 1533-position model. The record is from RNAcentral.